Pangasius djambal is the source of this 69-nucleotide non-coding RNA. Lineage: Eukaryota; Metazoa; Chordata; Actinopteri; Siluriformes; Pangasiidae. The record is from the annotation of a GenBank genome assembly.
GCGGUGGUUUAGUGGUUAGGACACCUGUCUUACAGCUCAAGGGUUGCGGGUUCGCUUCCCGCAUCUGCU